This 1178-nucleotide ribosomal RNA is filed under the name Escherichia coli. Its description in RNAcentral is "partial 23S ribosomal RNA". It matches the Rfam family "Bacterial large subunit ribosomal RNA", at positions 483 to 1663 of the family's 2925-position model. The record is from RNAcentral. Lineage: Bacteria; Pseudomonadati; Pseudomonadota; Gammaproteobacteria; Enterobacterales; Enterobacteriaceae.
ACCGAUAGUGAACCAGUACCGUGAGGGAAAGGCGAAAAGAACCCCGGCGAGGGGAGUGAAAAAGAACCUGAAACCGUGUACGUACAAGCAGUGGGAGCACGCUUAGGCGUGUGACUGCGUACCUUUUGUAUAAUGGGUCAGCGACUUAUAUUCUGUAGCAAGGUUAACCGAAUAGGGGAGCCGAAGGGAAACCGAGUCUUAACUGGGCGUUAAGUUGCAGGGUAUAGACCCGAAACCCGGUGAUCUAGCCAUGGGCAGGUUGAAGGUUGGGUAACACUAACUGGAGGACCGAACCGACUAAUGUUGAAAAAUUAGCGGAUGACUUGUGGCUGGGGGUGAAAGGCCAAUCAAACCGGGAGAUAGCUGGUUCUCCCCGAAAGCUAUUUAGGUAGCGCCUCGUGAAUUCAUCUCCGGGGGUAGAGCACUGUUUCGGCAAGGGGGUCAUCCCGACUUACCAACCCGAUGCAAACUGCGAAUACCGGAGAAUGUUAUCACGGGAGACACACGGCGGGUGCUAACGUCCGUCGUGAAGAGGGAAACAACCCAGACCGCCAGCUAAGGUCCCAAAGUCAUGGUUAAGUGGGAAACGAUGUGGGAAGGCCCAGACAGCCAGGAUGUUGGCUUAGAAGCAGCCAUCAUUUAAAGAAAGCGUAAUAGCUCACUGGUCGAGUCGGCCUGCGCGGAAGAUGUAACGGGGCUAAACCAUGCACCGAAGCUGCGGCAGCGACGCUGAUGCGUUGUUGGGUAGGGGAGCGUUCUGUAAGCCUGCGAAGGUGUGCUGUGAGGCAUGCUGGAGGUAUCAGAAGUGCGAAUGCUGACAUAAGUAACGAUAAAGCGGGUGAAAAGCCCGCUCGCCGGAAGACCAAGGGUUCCUGUCCAACGUUAAUCGGGGCAGGGUGAGUCGACCCCUAAGGCGAGGCCGAAAGGCGUAGUCGAUGGGAAACAGGUUAAUAUUCCUGUACUUGGUGUUACUGCGAAGGGGGGACGGAGAAGGCUAUGUUGGCCGGGCGACGGUUGUCCCGGUUUAAGCGUGUAGGCUGGUUUUCCAGGCAAAUCCGGAAAAUCAAGGCUGAGGCGUGAUGACGAGGCACUGCGGUGCUGAAGCAACAAAUGCCCUGCUUCCAGGAAAAGCCUCUAAGCAUCAGGUAACAUCAAAUCGUACCCCAAACCGACACAGG